This 245-nucleotide ribosomal RNA is filed under the name uncultured bacterium. Its description in RNAcentral is "partial 16S ribosomal RNA". It matches the Rfam family "Bacterial small subunit ribosomal RNA", at positions 57 to 305 of the family's 1533-position model. The record is from RNAcentral.
GCAAGUCGAACGCGAAAGUCCUUCGGGGCGAGUAGAGUGGCGGACGGGUGAGUAAUGCGUGGGACUCUACCUGGUAGUGGGGGACAACCCGGGGAAACUCGGGCUAAUACCGCAUAUGUCCUACGGGACAAAGGGGGCCUCUGCUUGCAAGCUCUCGCUACCGGAUGAGCCCACGUCCGAUUAGCUAGUUGGUAGGGUAAAGGCUUACCAAGGCGACGAUCGGUAGUUGGUCUGAGAGGAUGGCC